Molecule: ribosomal RNA, 88 nt
Filed under: uncultured bacterium
Lineage: Bacteria
Description: partial 16S ribosomal RNA
Rfam family: Bacterial small subunit ribosomal RNA
Source: RNAcentral
AUGACGGCCUUCGGGUUGUAAACCUCUUUCAGCAGGGACCAAGCGAGAGUGAGUGUACCUGCAGAAGAAGCACCGGCUAACUACGUGC